AUUGAACGCUGGCGGCAGGCCUAACACAUGCAAGUCGAGCGGAUGAAGGGAGCUUGCUCCUGGAUUCAGCGGCGGACGGGUGAGUAAUGCCUAGGAAUCUGCCUGGUAGUGGGGGAUAACGUCCGGACACGGGCGCUAAUACCGCAUACGUCCUGAGGGAGAAAGUGGGGGAUCUUCGGACCUCACGCUAUCAGAUGAGCCUAGGUCGGAUUAGCUAGUUGGUGGGGUAAAGGCCUACCAAGGCAACGAUCCGUAACUGGUCUGAGAGGAUGAUCAGUCACACUGGAACUGAGACACGGUCCAGACUCCUACGGGAGGCAGCAGUGGGGAAUAUUGGACAAUGGGCGAAAGCCUGAUCCAGCCAUGCCGCGUGUGUGAAGAAGGUCUUCGGAUUGUAAAGCACUUUAAGUUGGGAGGAAGGGCAGUAAGUUAAUACCUUGCUGUUUUGACGUUACCAACAGAAUAAGCACCGGCUAACUUCGUG
Molecule: ribosomal RNA, 484 nt
Filed under: uncultured bacterium
Lineage: Bacteria
Description: partial 16S ribosomal RNA
Rfam family: Bacterial small subunit ribosomal RNA
Source: RNAcentral